RNAcentral lists this ribosomal RNA (497 nucleotides) under uncultured bacterium. Its description in RNAcentral is "partial 16S ribosomal RNA". It matches the Rfam family "Bacterial small subunit ribosomal RNA", at positions 28 to 507 of the family's 1533-position model. The record is from RNAcentral.
GAUGAACGCUGGCGGCGUGCCUAAUACAUGCCAGUCGAGCGAACGGACGAGAAGCUUGCUUCUCUGAUGUUAGCGGCGGACGGGUGAGUAACACGUGGAUAACCUACCUAUAAGACUGGGAUAACUUCGGGAAACCGGAGCUAAUACCGGAUGAUAUUUUGAACCGCAUGGUUCAAAAGUGAAAGACGGUCUUGCUGUCACUUAUAGAUGGAUCCGCGCUGCAUUAGCUAGUUGGUAAGGUAACGGCUUACCAAGGCAACGAUGCAUAGCCGACCUGAGAGGGUGAUCGGCCACACUGGAACUGAGACACGGUCCAGACUCCUACGGGAGGCAGCAGUAGGGAAUCUUCCGCAAUGGGCGAAAGCCUGACGGGGCAACGCCGCGUGAGUGAUGAAGGUCUUCGGAUCGUAAAACUCUGUUAUUAGGGAAGAACAUAUGUGUAAGUAACUGUGCACAUCUUGACGGUACCUAAUCAGAAAGCCACGGCUAACUACGUG